Molecule: unclassified non-coding RNA, 444 nt
Filed under: uncultured Bordetella sp.
Lineage: Bacteria; Pseudomonadati; Pseudomonadota; Betaproteobacteria; Burkholderiales; Alcaligenaceae
Description: partial 16S-23S ribosomal RNA intergenic spacer
Rfam family: Bacterial small subunit ribosomal RNA
Source: RNAcentral
UACGGGGGGCAGCAGUGGGAAUUUUGGACAAUGGGGAAACCCUGAUCCAGCCAUCCCGCGUGUGCGAUGAAGGCCUUCCAGGUUUAUCGGCUUUUGGCAGGAAAGAAACGGCACGGGAUAAUAUUGUGACAAUACGGAAUAAGCACCGGCUAACUACGUGCCAGCAGCCGCGGUAAUACGUAGGGUGCAAGCGUUAAUCGGAAUUACUGGGCGUAAAGCGUGCGCAGGCGGUUCGGAAGAAAGAUGUGAAAUCCAGAAGCUUAACUUUGGAACUGCAUUUUUAACUACCGAGCUAGAGUGUGUCAGAGAGGUGGAAUUCCGCGUGUAGCAGUGAAAUGCGUAGAUAUGCGGAGGAACACCGAUGGCGAAGGCAGCCUCCUGGGAUAACACUGACGCUCAUGCACGAAAGCGUGGGGAGCAAACAGGAUUAGAUACCCCGGUAGU